ACGCUGGCGGCAGGCCUAACACAUGCAAGUCGAGCGGUAGCACAGAGAGCUUGCUCUCGGGUGACGAGCGGCGGACGGGUGAGUAAUGUCUGGGAAACUGCCUGAUGGAGGGGGAUAACUACUGGAAACGGUAGCUAAUACCGCAUAACGUCGCAAGACCAAAGUGGGGGACCUUCGGGCCUCAUGCCAUCAGAUGUGCCCAGAUGGGAUUAGCUAGUAGGUGGGGUAACGGCUCACCUAGGCGACGAUCCCUAGCUGGUCUGAGAGGAUGACCAGCCACACUGGAACUGAGACACGGUCCAGACUCCUACGGGAGGCAGCAGUGGGGAAUAUUGCACAAUGGGCGCAAGCCUGAUGCAGCCAUGCCGCGUGUGUGAAGAAGGCCUUCGGGUUGUAAAGCACUUUCAGUGGGGAGGAAGGCGUUAAGGUUAAUAACCUUGGCGAUUGACGUUACCCGCAGAAGAAGCACCGGCUAACUCCGUGCCAGCAGCCGCGGUAAUACGGAGGGUGCAAGCGUUAAUCGGAAUUACUGGGCGUAAAGCGCACGCAGGCGGUCUGUCAAGUCGGAUGUGAAAUCCCCGGGCUUAACCUGGGAACUGCAUUCGAAACUGGCAGGCUAGAGUCUUGUAGAGGGGGGUAGAAUUCCAGGUGUAGCGGUGAAAUGCGUAGAGAUCUGGAGGAAUACCGGUGGCGAAGGCGGCCCCCUGGACAAAGACUGACGCUCAGGUGCGAAAGCGUGGGGAGCAAACAGGAUUAGAUACCCUGGUAGUCCACGCCGUAAACGAUGUCGAUUUGGAGGUUGUGCCCUUGAGGCGUGGCUUCCGGAGCUAACGCGUUAAAUCGACCGCCUGGGGAGUACGGCCGCAAGGUUAAAACUCAAAUGAAUUGACGGGGGCCCGCACAAGCGGUGGAGCAUGUGGUUUAAUUCGAUGCAACGCGAAGAACCUUACCUGGUCUUGACAUCCACAGAACUUUCCAGAGAUGGAUUGGUGCCUUCGGGAACUGUGAGACAGGUGCUGCAUGGCUGUCGUCAGCUCGUGUUGUGAAAUGUUGGGUUAAGUCCCGCAACGAGCGCAACCCUUAUCCUUUGUUGCCAGCGGUCCGGCCGGGAACUCAAAGGAGACUGCCAGUGAUAAACUGGAGGAAGGUGGGGAUGACGUCAAGUCAUCAUGGCCCUUACGACCAGGGCUACACACGUGCUACAAUGGCAUAUACAAAGAGAAGCGACCUCGCGAGAGCAAGCGGACCUCAUAAAGUAUGUCGUAGUCCGGAUUGGAGUCUGCAACUCGACUCCAUGAAGUCGGAAUCGCUAGUAAUCGUAGAUCAGAAUGCUACGGUGAAUACGUUCCCGGGCCUUGUACACACCGCCCGUCACACCAUGGGAGUGGGUUGCAAAAGAAGUAGGUAGCUUAACCUUCGGGAGGGCGCUU
RNAcentral lists this ribosomal RNA (1430 nucleotides) under Serratia liquefaciens. RNAcentral describes it as "16S ribosomal RNA". It matches the Rfam family "Bacterial small subunit ribosomal RNA". The record is from RNAcentral. Lineage: Bacteria; Pseudomonadati; Pseudomonadota; Gammaproteobacteria; Enterobacterales; Yersiniaceae.